This 612-nucleotide ribosomal RNA is filed under the name Triticum aestivum (bread wheat). RNAcentral describes it as "partial small subunit ribosomal RNA". The record is from RNAcentral. Lineage: Eukaryota; Viridiplantae; Streptophyta; Magnoliopsida; Poales; Poaceae.
AUGCCUUUUGGUCUAUGCAAUGCACCUGCUACCUUUCAAAGAUGUAUGACUGCUAUAUUAUCUGAUUUUUGUGAAAAUAUUGUUGAGGUUUUCAUGGAUGACUUUUCCGUUUAUGGGAAAUCUUUUGAUGAAUGUUUAAGCGAUCUUGAUCGAGUUUUGCAGAGAUGUGAACAAACAAAUCUUGUCUUGAAUUGGGAGAGGUGCCACUUUAUGGUUAACGAAGGUAUUGUUUUGGGCCAUAAAAUUUCUGAAAGAGGCAUUGAGGUGGACAAAGCCAAGGUUGAUGCAAUUGAGAAAAUGCCAUGUCCUAAAGAUAUCAAAGAUAUUCGUAGUUUUUUCCUUGGUCAUGCUGAUUUCUAUAGGAGAUUUAUCAAAGACUUCUCUAAAAUUUCUAGGCCUCUUACAAAUCUUUUGCAAAAGGAUAUCCGUUUUGUUUUUGAUGAUGAUUGUUUGGAAGCCUUCAAAACACUGAAGAAAGCCCUAAUCUCUGCACCUGUUGUUCAACCACCUGAUUGGAACUUACCUUUUGAGAUUAUGUGUGAUGCUAGUGAUUAUGUUGUUGGUGAUGUUCUAGGACAAAGAGUUCAUAAAAAAAUAAAUGUUAUCCAUUAG